GGAUAACUGAUGGGAUUGGACAUGCUCCUUUUUUAUUCAAAAGGUUUGCGUCCUGAAAAUCCAUCGCCUCAACUCUUGAUAAAUGAUUCAGUAGAUAAAGGAUUGAUUGUGAUGUAUGGAGCUGAAUAUGCGUUUCCAUUAGUUCAUGGUGUUGAUCAUGAACUCCCUUACCGCUAUAUAAACAUCUUCAGCUGUUCUUCUGCUGAUCUAUACGUUUAGCAUACAUAUUCAUAUGUCCUAUUUAUCAUUCGCCAAUAAAAUGAUGCUUACUGUUCGAAUGCUAAAUAGCUGAGCUUAUCAUUUAAAUUAAUUGUUUGAUUUGGUUAAUUUAUUAGAAAAGAAAUGCAGAUCUGAGGGAGAGUAUAAGUAUAUGAUAGUGCAAUUGAUGUGUCCUGGUUUUUGCAAGUGUUCAGGAGUUCUUUUUUUUUCCAGGAUUCAUGUUCUUCUGUUUGUGCUUCUGAACUCUUAUGUUGAUCCAGUGUACAAAAGACUAUGGAGAGAAGGUAGCCAGAUGUAACAAGGUAGCAAGAUUAGCGCAUGGGUACAUGAUCAGAAAUGUCACCAGGUGAUAUAGCUUUAAAGGUGUGGCGGAAUAGGUUUUCUAAGCUUCAUCUCAACUUCUCAUUAGCACUUCCAUCAUUUACCAAACAGAUUUAUGGGCCUACCAAAAAUAGACAAGCUGAAACAUUUCUGCAGCUUCUUUGCCAUUUCUGCUACUCUUCGUUUACAUGUACAGUGUGGUCGGUGAUAUCUUGCAUAUUUCCAUUAUCUUAUUCAUUCGUCCAUGUGCA
Brassica napus (rape) is the source of this 791-nucleotide long non-coding RNA. RefSeq lists it as uncharacterized. The transcript has 2 exons. NCBI's taxonomy places the organism in Eukaryota, Viridiplantae, Streptophyta, Magnoliopsida, Brassicales, Brassicaceae. The record is from RefSeq and is a predicted model, not a curated record.